UCUGUGAAACUGGAACAGACUUUACAUGUUCUACGUUAUUGAACGUUCAUGGAAUCUAAGGUCUUCCACUCUUCGCGACCUGAAGUGAACAAAAAAGAGGCUAAGAAAGCUUAAAACCUCCCCUGUAUGCUUCAGAUCACUCAGCUGCCUAGACUAGAGAGUCUCUGAUGGUGAUCAGACUGAAGAUUGAAACACCCCUGGAAAGAUGGAUUCUGGUGUUGGAACUAAAGAUGUGAAGGCAGAGUUGGACUUGGUGGAGGCUGAGCUGGAGCAGGUGGAGCUUCAGGUCGCAGAGCUGCUGGAGAAGCAGGCUCAGUUGACGUCUCGCAAGAGCGCUCUGCUGCUGCAGCUGGAGGAGGCCUGUGACGCCAUCGGUUCCUCCUCCUCUACAACCUCAGUACCCGAGUGGGCGAUGAGCAGGCAGGUGCUCCAGAGCUAUGAUGGCACAGAUUUCCCUUGGUCCAAAGAGGUGGAACAGCAUCUGAAAAGCUCCUUUGGUCUUUCUAAGUUCAGACCUUUGCAGCUCAGAGCCAUCAACCUAACCAUGGCAGGCAAUGAUGUGUUUCUGGUCAUGCCUACAGGAAGAGGAAAAAGUCUCUGCUUCCAGCUGCCUGCAAUCUGCUCGAAGGGUAUCACAUUGGUUAUCACACCACUCGUGUCUCUGAUGGAGGACCAGAUCAUGCACCUGAAGUCUGUUGGUAUUCCUGCAGUCAUGCUGAAUGCAUCAAGCAGUAAGGAGCAUUCCAAGCUCGUCUUGGCUGGAAUGACGGAUGUGAAAGUCCCCUUCAAGAUGGUUUAUGUAACUCCAGAGAAGGUUGCCAAGAGCAAGCUGCUGAUGUCUCGCCUGGAGAAAGCCUAUAAUGCCAAGCUGCUUAGUCGUAUAGUUGUGGAUGAGGUGCACUGCUGCAGCCAGUGGGGACACGACUUCAGACCAGAUUAUAAACUCCUGGGUAUCUUAAAGAGACAAUUUCCUUCUGUGCCUCUCUUUGGCCUCACAGCCACAGCAACCAGCAGUGUCCUCAAGGACUGUGAGAAGAUACUGUGUGUGGAACAGCCAGUCACUAUCACUGCCUCGUUCAAUCGAACUAAUCUCUUUUAUGAGGUUCGCCAUAAAGACUCAGAUAGUGAUGCUUUAAUGAGUGAUAUUACCUCUCUAAUUAAAGGCAAAUACAAGAACCAGUCAGGCAUUGUGUAUGUGUUCUCUCAGAAGGAUGCUGAGAUGGUGUCUUCUGAACUCAAAAAACGUGACAUCUCAGCAUAUCCUUAUCAUGCCAAUAUGGACCCAGAAGACAAGUCGCAAGUUCACUGCAGAUGGACUUCAAACAAAAUCCAGGUUGUGGUUGCCACGGUGGCGUUUGGCAUGGGCAUUGACAAACCAGAUGUCAGGUUUGUUAUCCACCACACCAUGAGCAAGUCCGUUGAGAACUACUACCAAGAGAGUGGGCGUGCAGGUCGAGAUGAUCUUCCAGCAGACUGCAUCGUAUAUUUUGGCUUUGCUGAUAUCUUCAAGAUCAGCACCAUGGUGGUCAUGGAAAAUGCCGGCUACCAGAAGCUGCUGCAAAUGGUCUCCUACUGCCAGAUUGUUGACAGGUGUCGGCGCUCUCUCAUGGCUGUCCACUUUGAAGAGGUGUGGGACAAUGAAAGAUGUAACCAAAUGUGUGAUACAUGCUGCCAUGAAAAAGGCUACACUAGUGUGGACAUUACCCAGCAUGCAAGACAAGUGGUGCUAAUUGUUGAGCAAGCAGGGUUCAUGAAAGAAAAAGUGACCCCUCUGAAGCUGGUGGAGACAUGGAUGGGGAGGGGCCCAGCAAAGCUCAGGAAGAUGAUCCAGACUACGGCACUGUCUCGGCUGCAGGCUGAAUCUGUGAUCGUCUCUUUGCUACUUCAAGGAUAUCUCAGAGAGGAUUACACCUUCACGCCAUAUACCACCUACUUCUAUAUGAAGCUUGGCCGCAAAGCUCCUCUGCUAAAGAAGGAGACUCACACAAUCCAUAUGAACAUGUGGGCAGCUGGAGACGGACCUUCUUUGUUGCUACAGGAGGUCACACAAGAUGACGGGGGAAGGUGGGACUCUUCCUGAAGUCUUCGACUAUUUCCUUCGUCUUAUCAGCAUCCUCCCACAUGUAGAUGGAUUUAACUGCCUCAGCGAUGAGUCCAGUGAGGGUGUGUCCUUUCCCCAGUGCUGGUUUUUUGACACUUAGAAGUGACUUUUAUCAGACUUACAUUAUACUUCCUGUCAGACAGGAUGUCUGUUUAUUUAUUUAUUUAUUCAUUCAUUCAUUCAUUCAUUCAUUCAUGUAUUUUUUGAAUCAAAAAAGAUUUGGUGACCUCCACAUGAUCCCGAUUCUGCUGAUACUGUCCCUGUAAUGGAAAUUGUAUUUUAUUAAUUUAUAGCUGUACCUCCAUCCAUCCAUUUCCUGUUCACCCUUGUCCCAUAGAGGUGUCAGGAGGGUUGCUGGUUCCUCUCCAGCUACGUUCCGGGCAAGAGGCGGGGUCACACUGGACAGGUCACCAGUCUGUCGCAGGGCAACACAGAGACAUACAGGACACACAACUAUUCACACACACACUCACACCUAGGGAGAAUUUAGAGAGACCAAUUAACCUGACAGUCAUGUUUUUGGACUGUGGGAGGAAGCCGGAGAACCCGGAGAGAACCCACGCAUGCACAGGGAGAACAUGCAACCUCCAUGCAGAAAGACCCCGGGCCGGGAAUUGAACCCAGGACCUUCUUGCUGCAAGGCAACAGCUCUACCAACUGCGCCACUGUGCAGCCCUAUAGCUGUACCUAUUAUACAUAACACUACACUUUUAUAUUACUCAGCCGUUAUUUGCAUAGCACACUUUAAUGUUACCAUAGUCUCUUUAAUAUAAUGUUCAUAGAUCACAACAUUUUCUGGCAAUAUUUACUGUUUUAAUAUAAUUUUUAAGGACAGAGGAUUCUUAAAGUUACACAUGGAAACUAAAGAUGUUCCAUAGUGCUAGCCCACUGACCCAAGGAUAAAGAGAGAUUAGAGUCAGUAGCCUAGAGGCAUUGUAGCACAGACAUUAACAGGAGCUGGAUACUUUCUCAUAAAAUGAAUGAAGCAACCCUGGGCAUGGGUAUGGUUGUACCAUCCUAGAAAAGAGGAAUGGCCCAGAAUUCCUGUAAAGUAUUGAGAAAAGUUUGAGGAAGGAAAACCACAACGUUUAACCCAAAACAUGCAGUUCAAAUGUAAUGCUACCAAAGACUUAGAAAAUGUAUGCAAACUUCUGAUUUUGUAGACAUAAUUAAACAAGACUCUGAUAUACACUUUCUCAUAUUAUUAUGGCAAAUAAAUAAGAGAAAUACAUCUAGCAAAUAGAAACAAUUCUGAUAAUUUUAUCUGACCUUUAAACAAUUGGUUUGGUUUUAUUUAACUUGAGACAGUUUAUGUGUCUUUGUAUUAGGUGUAUGUAAACUUCUGGAGCUGGGUGGAGUCUGUCAUUAAGAAUAAGAAUGUGGUGUUCUUGCAGUGUUCUUUUGGUUCACUCUGUAGCUAUGGACCGUCUCAAAUAAAGACUUUUGUUAAUGACUUGCAGGCAAAACCUGCAACUGGCAAGGGAAAAUCCAAGGAGGAAAAGAGAUCAGUUCAAAGCUCUGGAGACUCCCAUGUGUCCAAGAAAGUCAAGACAAGGCUUUCCUAGUCCCCUCAACCCCUACAAACCCAGAAGACAAGUCAAUAAAGACAAAUCAGCUACUCGAUGAGGAAGAGGUCUGUGUGAGCCCUGAUCCCCCUGCCAUUAAGAAUAGAUGUUCCCCACAAAAAAAGAGAAAAAUUGAAGCUGAGGAAACGAGCUAAAACAAUUCAAACAGAGGGAGCACAAAAGCAGCCUGCUCAGACAGGGAGAGGAAAAAGGAUAAGAGGAGGCCAUUCAUGUCCCACAGCGUCGCUGUAGAAAUUAAUGUGGAUGUAAGUGAUGGAACAAAGCUUAAUCAAAUUAUAUCUGUCUCCAAGCUGAACUCAGCUAGCUCUUUAAGGGCAAGGAGUAAACAACUUCACCUCCACACUCCUUAUAGUGUCAUACAGACUGAUGGAACUGUAUUCUGACUGACUCUAUGGGCUACAUUAUUACUCAACAUGCACUCCUCCAUUCUGGCAUCUGUCUUAAAUUUAAAUUUAGCACUUAGGAUUUUUGUGUUUUUUUUAGUAUUUUUAGCUCUUAGAUAUUUUACUUGAUCUGGUAAUUGUGUUAAUUUAGUAAUCUUGUGUUUUGUAAUAUAUUGUGUGAACUGUAAUGUAUGUUGUGUGUAAUGUCUUAAGCUGCUGGGACCUUGAAUUUUCCCUAGGGGAUUAAUAAAGUAUUCAUCUUCAUCUUCACCUUCA
Gambusia affinis (western mosquitofish) is the source of this 4346-nucleotide RNA transcript. It is a transcript of the gene named RecQ helicase-like, with no coding region annotated. The transcript is spliced from 17 exons. Lineage: Eukaryota; Metazoa; Chordata; Actinopteri; Cyprinodontiformes; Poeciliidae. The record is from RefSeq and is a predicted model, not a curated record.